RNAcentral lists this ribosomal RNA (2903 nucleotides) under Escherichia coli. Its description in RNAcentral is "23S ribosomal RNA". It matches the Rfam family "Bacterial large subunit ribosomal RNA". The record is from RNAcentral. Lineage: Bacteria; Pseudomonadati; Pseudomonadota; Gammaproteobacteria; Enterobacterales; Enterobacteriaceae.
UUAAGCGACUAAGCGUACACGGUGGAUGCCCUGGCAGUCAGAGGCGAUGAAGGACGUGCUAAUCUGCGAUAAGCGUCGGUAAGGUGAUAUGAACCGUUAUAACCGGCGAUUUCCGAAUGGGGAAACCCAGUGUGUUUCGACACACUAUCAUUAACUGAAUCCAUAGGUUAAUGAGGCGAACCGGGGGAACUGAAACAUCUAAGUACCCCGAGGAAAAGAAAUCAACCGAGAUUCCCCCAGUAGCGGCGAGCGAACGGGGAGCAGCCCAGAGCCUGAAUCAGUGUGUGUGUUAGUGGAAGCGUCUGGAAAGGCGCGCGAUACAGGGUGACAGCCCCGUACACAAAAAUGCACAUGCUGUGAGCUCGAUGAGUAGGGCGGGACACGUGGUAUCCUGUCUGAAUAUGGGGGGACCAUCCUCCAAGGCUAAAUACUCCUGACUGACCGAUAGUGAACCAGUACCGUGAGGGAAAGGCGAAAAGAACCCCGGCGAGGGGAGUGAAAAAGAACCUGAAACCGUGUACGUACAAGCAGUGGGAGCACAGAGCAAUCUGUGUGACUGCGUACCUUUUGUAUAAUGGGUCAGCGACUUAUAUUCUGUAGCAAGGUUAACCGAAUAGGGGAGCCGAAGGGAAACCGAGUCUUAACUGGGCGUUAAGUUGCAGGGUAUAGACCCGAAACCCGGUGAUCUAGCCAUGGGCAGGUUGAAGGUUGGGUAACACUAACUGGAGGACCGAACCGACUAAUGUUGAAAAAUUAGCGGAUGACUUGUGGCUGGGGGUGAAAGGCCAAUCAAACCGGGAGAUAGCUGGUUCUCCCCGAAAGCUAUUUAGGUAGCGCCUCGUGAAUUCAUCUCCGGGGGUAGAGCACUGUUUCGGCAAGGGGGUCAUCCCGACUUACCAACCCGAUGCAAACUGCGAAUACCGGAGAAUGUUAUCACGGGAGACACACGGCGGGUGCUAACGUCCGUCGUGAAGAGGGAAACAACCCAGACCGCCAGCUAAGGUCCCAAAGUCAUGGUUAAGUGGGAAACGAUGUGGGAAGGCCCAGACAGCCAGGAUGUUGGCUUAGAAGCAGCCAUCAUUUAAAGAAAGCGUAAUAGCUCACUGGUCGAGUCGGCCUGCGCGGAAGAUGUAACGGGGCUAAACCAUGCACCGAAGCUGCGGCAGCGACGCUGAUGCGUUGUUGGGUAGGGGAGCGUUCUGUAAGCCUGCGAAGGUGUGCUGUGAGGCAUGCUGGAGGUAUCAGAAGUGCGAAUGCUGACAUAAGUAACGAUAAAGCGGGUGAAAAGCCCGCUCGCCGGAAGACCAAGGGUUCCUGUCCAACGUUAAUCGGGGCAGGGUGAGUCGACCCCUAAGGCGAGGCCGAAAGGCGUAGUCGAUGGGAAACAGGUUAAUAUUCCUGUACUUGGUGUUACUGCGAAGGGGGGACGGAGAAGGCUAUGUUGGCCGGGCGACGGUUGUCCCGGUUUAAGCGUGUAGGCUGGUUUUCCAGGCAAAUCCGGAAAAUCAAGGCUGAGGCGUGAUGACGAGGCACUACGGUGCUGAAGCAACAAAUGCCCUGCUUCCAGGAAAAGCCUCUAAGCAUCAGGUAACAUCAAAUCGUACCCCAAACCGACACAGGUGGUCAGGUAGAGAAUACCAAGGCGCUUGAGAGAACUCGGGUGAAGGAACUAGGCAAAAUGGUGCCGUAACUUCGGGAGAAGGCACGCUGAUAUGUAGGUGAAGUCCCUCGCGGAUGGAGCUGAAAUCAGUCGAAGAUACCAGCUGGCUGCAACUGUUUAUUAAAAACACAGCACUGUGCAAACACGAAAGUGGACGUAUACGGUGUGACGCCUGCCCGGUGCCGGAAGGUUAAUUGAUGGGGUUAGCGCAAGCGAAGCUCUUGAUCGAAGCCCCGGUAAACGGCGGCCGUAACUAUAACGGUCCUAAGGUAGCGAAAUUCCUUGUCGGGUAAGUUCCGACCUGCACGAAUGGCGUAAUGAUGGCCAGGCUGUCUCCACCCGAGACUCAGUGAAAUUGAACUCGCUGUGAAGAUGCAGUGUACCCGCGGCAAGACGGAAAGACCCCGUGAACCUUUACUAUAGCUUGACACUGAACAUUGAGCCUUGAUGUGUAGGAUAGGUGGGAGGCUUUGAAGUGUGGACGCCAGUCUGCAUGGAGCCGACCUUGAAAUACCACCCUUUAAUGUUUGAUGUUCUAACGUUGACCCGUAAUCCGGGUUGCGGACAGUGUCUGGUGGGUAGUUUGACUGGGGCGGUCUCCUCCUAAAGAGUAACGGAGGAGCACGAAGGUUGGCUAAUCCUGGUCGGACAUCAGGAGGUUAGUGCAAUGGCAUAAGCCAGCUUGACUGCGAGCGUGACGGCGCGAGCAGGUGCGAAAGCAGGUCAUAGUGAUCCGGUGGUUCUGAAUGGAAGGGCCAUCGCUCAACGGAUAAAAGGUACUCCGGGGAUAACAGGCUGAUACCGCCCAAGAGUUCAUAUCGACGGCGGUGUUUGGCACCUCGAUGUCGGCUCAUCACAUCCUGGGGCUGAAGUAGGUCCCAAGGGUAUGGCUGUUCGCCAUUUAAAGUGGUACGCGAGCUGGGUUUAGAACGUCGUGAGACAGUUCGGUCCCUAUCUGCCGUGGGCGCUGGAGAACUGAGGGGGGCUGCUCCUAGUACGAGAGGACCGGAGUGGACGCAUCACUGGUGUUCGGGUUGUCAUGCCAAUGGCACUGCCCGGUAGCUAAAUGCGGAAGAGAUAAGUGCUGAAAGCAUCUAAGCACGAAACUUGCCCCGAGAUGAGUUCUCCCUGACUCCUUGAGAGUCCUGAAGGAACGUUGAAGACGACGACGUUGAUAGGCCGGGUGUGUAAGCGCAGCGAUGCGUUGAGCUAACCGGUACUAAUGAACCGUGAGGCUUAACCU